GUCAGGAGAGAGUGCCCCGCUACCCGCAAACGGCACCGCCGAAGGCGCAGGCCCAUCGCCAAACGCUCAGGCAAAAGGACUGACAG
RNAcentral lists this non-coding RNA (86 nucleotides) under uncultured Acidovorax sp. RNAcentral's name for it is "Glycine riboswitch". It matches the Rfam family "Glycine riboswitch aptamer", at positions 9 to 86 of the family's 94-position model. From Rfam's summary of the family: This family represents the bacterial glycine riboswitch. Glycine riboswitches usually consist of two metabolite-binding aptamers domains with similar structures in tandem. Lineage: Bacteria; Pseudomonadati; Pseudomonadota; Betaproteobacteria; Burkholderiales; Comamonadaceae. The record is from RNAcentral.